Long non-coding RNA from Astatotilapia calliptera (eastern happy), 1335 nucleotides. The record is from Ensembl. NCBI's taxonomy places the organism in Eukaryota, Metazoa, Chordata, Actinopteri, Cichliformes, Cichlidae.
CCGCUGACCGCAGACCGGCAGAAGCUUCAUAUCAAAGCCACUUCUGUAAUUUGAUGAUAAACUGAGGGAGACGUUGGUGUUUUUCCUCCAUCAUGUAUCCUUUGGUCCUCCUGCUGCUGCUGGGAGCGAGGAGCUCAGAUUUCAGGGGCUGCGCCGUGACCCCCGAGGUUCUAGACUUGGAAGAACAACCCAGCGACUGGCGUGAAUCUUUUAAAGCCUGCGCUGAUCGCAAACUAGAGCUGCUCUGCCUGUCAAGCGCCGACCUCCAGAAACAGAUCUAUGGCAAACUUUACCAGAACAGGUCUUUAACUAACAACACUGUACAAGAGGUGUGGAUCGGCAUGCGGCGCAGCUCGCUGAACGGGGAGUGGUUCUGGGUGAACGGGGACAGCGUCAACAGCACCACCUGGGGUGACGGCGAGCCCGGUGGGGUGGAGGAAGGCCAGUGCACCAUCAUGAGUCUGGGAAACGGCACGGGCUUUGAGUGGAGCGACGACGACUGCUGCAUGGAUGCUCAUUAUAUCUGCUACAAGGAGCCGGAGCUCUUCCCCAUAUAGGACAGGAGCUCUGCAGCUCUGCACUGUCGUUAGUUUCACUACACAUCCUGUUCACGUAUAAGCAUGCUGUAGCUGCCAGUCACAUUUUAUGGCUCUGUAGAAGAAAAACAUGUACUCUAGUUUAGUCUGAGGGUCUCACGCUCUGCUUGGUGAGACACCUGAACAGCAACCAGCAGCAUCUUAGUCCUGAAAACCGAAGCAAAUGUGUAACUAAGCAUUUAAGAAAGUUUCACUUUGCAGAGGAUGUUCCUGCUGAUCUGACUGGGAAAUGUUACGAUCGUUGGGAACCAGUAUGCAGCAUCACUGGUUUCCUGUUUGAUUGUAAUCUGAGGAGAGUGAGCUGUUAUUUGUCACUAUUUAAAGUGUUUGAGCUUCGUGUGUUUGUAAUAAUCGGCUCUGCAGAAGCUUCAGCAGAGUGAUGCUAACUCGUAUUUACUGUUUGCUCUUAGAUUACGGUUUCUGGGAUAAACGAUCAGCGCCGUCCUGCGGCUGGUAGAAUACUUUUCUAUAAUAACUGAAGAUGUAAAUUCAAGUGUGAUUUUAUUCUUUAAGGAGUCCUAAACCGAGCUGAAUGUAAGUUUACAGGUAACCUCGUCAUCCUGAUGCUUUAUAUUAUUUACCGGUUUGAAGUCAGCAGAGUUUGCAUGUUGAACUGUUGAAUCUGCAGUCUGAUUGGUCAGAAUCAUCUAUGCACCAGUUUUAUUGUAAAAAUGAUUAUUUCAGUCAAUCAUGGACUCAGUGACACAUCAAUAAAUCUGUUUUGCUGUGACAAACUGGA